AAUCCUCAACCCUUCUCCCUUUUUUGGGUGGAAAGGGUUUGGAAUUUGGGGGCUUUUGCUGGCACCCCUUCUUUUGGGAGCCAGCUCCUCUUAAAUGCAUUAGCAGGGUUUCCUUAGCCAGAUCCCCUCGACGUGAUAAAGUUUUUACGUCCCAGGGCUUCUUGGUUCUAACCUGCUUCCAAUCGUCUCAUCUGAGACUAAAACCGAAUCUGA
RNAcentral lists this unclassified non-coding RNA (213 nucleotides) under uncultured Lactifluus. RNAcentral describes it as "sequence contains ITS2". Lineage: Eukaryota; Fungi; Basidiomycota; Agaricomycetes; Russulales; Russulaceae. The record is from RNAcentral.